RNAcentral lists this ribosomal RNA (252 nucleotides) under uncultured bacterium. RNAcentral describes it as "partial 16S ribosomal RNA". It matches the Rfam family "Bacterial small subunit ribosomal RNA", at positions 524 to 776 of the family's 1533-position model. The record is from RNAcentral.
UACGGAGGGUGCAAGCGUUGUCCGGAUUUAUUGGGUUUAAAGGGUGCGUAGGCGGCUCGUUAAGUCCGGGGUGAAGCCCGUUGCUCAACAACGGAACUGCCCUGGAAACUGGCGAGCUUGAGUACAGACGAGGGUGGCGGAAUGGAUGCUGUAGCGGUGAAAUGCAUAGAUAGCAUCCAGAACCCCGAUUGCGAAGGCAGCUGCCUAGACUGUAACUGACGCUGAGGCACGAAAGCGUGGGGAGCGAACAGG